This 938-nucleotide ribosomal RNA is filed under the name Agrostia rugicollis. Its description in RNAcentral is "SSU rRNA". It matches the Rfam family "Eukaryotic small subunit ribosomal RNA", at positions 436 to 1310 of the family's 1831-position model. Lineage: Eukaryota; Metazoa; Arthropoda; Insecta; Phasmatodea; Pseudophasmatidae. The record is from RNAcentral.
CAAUUACCCACUCCCGGCACGGGGAGGUAGUGACGAAAAAUAACGAUACGGGACUCAUCCGAGGCCCCGUAAUCGGAAUGAGAACACUUUAAACCCUUUAACGAGUAUCCAUUGGAGGGCAAGUCUGGUGCCAGCAGCCGCGGUAAUUCCAGCUCCAAUAGCGUAUAUUAAAGUUGUUGCGGUUAAAAAGCUCGUAGUUGGAUCUGUGUCCCACGCUGUCGGUUCACCGUUCGUCGGUGUUUAACUGGCAUGCCCGUGCGGACGUCCUGCCGGUGGAUGCGGUCGGCCGCGGGGCCUCCAGGGGUCCCGCGCGUCGGCGGUCCGAUUCAAUCCUACCGCGGUGCUCUUCACCGAGUGUCGAGGUGGGCCGGCACGUUUACUUUGAACAAAUUAGAGUGCUCAAAGCAGGCAGUGGUUCGCCUGAAUAUUGUGUGCAUGGAAUAAUGGAAUAGGACCUCGGUUCUAUUUUGUUGGUUUUCGGAACUUGAGGUAAUGAUUAAUAGGGACAAACGGAGGCAUCCGUAUUGCGACGUUAGAGGUGAAAUUCUUGGAUCGUCGCAAGACGAACUUAAGCGAAAGCAUUUGCCGAGCGUGUUUUCACUAAUCAAGAACGAAAGUUAGAGGUUCGAAGGCGAUCAGAUACCGCCCUAGUUCUAACCAUAAACGAUGCCAGCCAGCGAUCCGUCGAAGUUCCUCCGAUGACUCGGCGGGCAGCUUCCGGGAAACCAAAGCUUUUGGGUUCCGGGGGAAGUAUGGUUGCAAAGCUGAAACUUAAAGGAAUUGACGGAAGGGCACCACCAGGAGUGGAGCCUGCGGCUUAAUUUGACUCAACACGGGAAACCUCACCAGGCCCGGACACCGGAAGGAUUGACAGAUUGAGAGCUCUUUCUUGAUUCGGUGGGUGGUGGUGCAUGGCCGUUCUUAGUUGGUGGAGCGAU